GACGAACGCUGGCGGCGUGCCUAAUACAUGCAAGUAGAACGCACAGUUUAUACCGUAGCUUGCUACACCAUAGACUGUGAGUUGCGAACGGGUGAGUAACGCGUAGGUAACCUGCCUGGUAGCGGGGGAUAACUAUUGGAAACGAUAGCUAAUACCGCAUAAUAUUGAUUAUUGCAUGAUAAUUGAUUGAAAGAUGCUAUUGCAUCACUACCAGAUGGACCUGCGUUGUAUUAGCUAGUAGGUGAGGUAACGGCUCACCUGGGCGACGAUACAUAGCCGACCUGAGAGGGUGAUCGGCCACACUGGGAAUGAGACACGGCCCAGACUCCUACGGGAGGCAGCAGUAGGGAAUCUUCGGCAAUGGACGAAAGUCUGACCGAGCAACGCCGCGUGAGUGAAGAAGGUUGUCGGAUCGUAAAGCUCUGUUGUAAGAGAAGAACGGGUGUGAGAGUGGAAAGUUCACACUGUGACGGUAUCUUACCAGAAAGGGACGGCUAACUACGUG
This 505-nucleotide ribosomal RNA is filed under the name uncultured bacterium. RNAcentral describes it as "partial 16S ribosomal RNA". It matches the Rfam family "Bacterial small subunit ribosomal RNA", at positions 28 to 507 of the family's 1533-position model. The record is from RNAcentral.